Molecule: ribosomal RNA, 106 nt
Filed under: Oryctolagus cuniculus (rabbit)
Lineage: Eukaryota; Metazoa; Chordata; Mammalia; Lagomorpha; Leporidae
Source: RNAcentral
AUCUGCAGCCAAACCACCCUGAACAUGCCCGAUCUCGUCUGAUCCCGGAAGUUGAGCAGGGUCAGGCCUGGUUAGUACUCGAAUGGGAGAAAGGGGACGACAGUGG